GACGCUGAUGCCAGACGGUCUGGCGGCGGCCUGCAAAGCCGCCCCGCGCGGGUUCGACUCCCGACAGCGUCU
This 72-nucleotide transfer RNA is filed under the name Planctomyces sp. RNAcentral's name for it is "tRNA-Cys". It matches the Rfam family "tRNA". From Rfam's summary of the family: Transfer RNA (tRNA) molecules are approximately 80 nucleotides in length. Their secondary structure includes four short double-helical elements and three loops (D, anti-codon, and T loops). Further hydrogen bonds mediate the characteristic L-shaped molecular structure. tRNAs have two regions of fundamental functional importance: the anti-codon, which is responsible for specific mRNA codon recognition, and the 3' end, to which the tRNAs corresponding amino acid is attached (by aminoacyl-tRNA synthetases). tRNAs cope with the degeneracy of the genetic code in two manners: having more than one tRNA (with a specific anti-codon) for a particular amino acid; and 'wobble' base-pairing, i.e. permitting non-standard base-pairing at the 3rd anti-codon position. The record is from RNAcentral. Lineage: Bacteria; Pseudomonadati; Planctomycetota; Planctomycetia; Planctomycetales; Planctomycetaceae. RNAcentral also lists the same sequence under 1 other name.